This 72-nucleotide transfer RNA is filed under the name Candidatus Calditenuaceae archaeon. Its description in RNAcentral is "tRNA-Ala". It matches the Rfam family "tRNA". From Rfam's summary of the family: Transfer RNA (tRNA) molecules are approximately 80 nucleotides in length. Their secondary structure includes four short double-helical elements and three loops (D, anti-codon, and T loops). The record is from RNAcentral. Lineage: Archaea; Thermoproteati; Nitrososphaerota; Candidatus Caldarchaeales; Candidatus Calditenuaceae.
GGGCCUGUAGUUCAAAGGAAGAACGCCUCCCUUGCACGGAGGAGGUUAGGGGUUCGAGUCCCCUCAGGUCCA